GUGUUGUUGGGUAGGGGAGCGUUCUGUAAGCCUGUGAAGGUGUGUCGUGAGGCAUGCUGGAGGUAUCAGAAGUGCGAAUGCUGACAUAAGUAACGAUAAAGCGGGUGAAAAGCCCGCUCGCCGGAAGACCAAGGGUUCCUGUCCAACGUUAAUCGGGGCAGGGUGAGUCGACCCCUAAGGCGAGGCCGAAAGGCGUAGUCGAUGGGAAACGGGUUAAUAUUCCCGUACUUGGUGUUACUGCGAAGGGGGGACGGAGAAGGCUAUGUUGGCCGGGCGACGGUUGUCCCGGUUUAAGCGUGUAGGUGUGUGUUCCAGGUAAAUCCGGUUCACUUUAACACUGAGGCGUGAUGACGAGGCACUACGGUGCUGAAGCAACAAAUGCCCUGC
RNAcentral lists this ribosomal RNA (387 nucleotides) under Salmonella enterica subsp. enterica serovar Newport. RNAcentral's name for it is "bacterial LSU rRNA". It matches the Rfam family "Bacterial large subunit ribosomal RNA", at positions 1218 to 1605 of the family's 2925-position model. Lineage: Bacteria; Pseudomonadati; Pseudomonadota; Gammaproteobacteria; Enterobacterales; Enterobacteriaceae. The record is from RNAcentral.